AUCAUGGCUCAGGAUGAACGCUAGCUACAGGCUUAACACAUGCAAGUCGAGGGGAAACGACAUCGAAAGCUUGCUUUUGAUGGGCGUCGACCGGCGCACGGGUGAGUAACGCGUAUCCAACCUGCCCACCACUUGGGGAGUAACCUUGCGAAAGUAAGACUAAUACCCAAUGAUAUCUCUAGAAGACAUCUGAAAGAGAUUAAAGAUUCAUCGGUGAUGGAUGGGGAUGCGU
RNAcentral lists this ribosomal RNA (232 nucleotides) under uncultured bacterium. RNAcentral's name for it is "partial 16S ribosomal RNA". It matches the Rfam family "Bacterial small subunit ribosomal RNA", at positions 16 to 236 of the family's 1533-position model. The record is from RNAcentral.